AGAAUCAACGCUGGCGGCGUGCCUAACACAUGCAAGUCGAACGAGAACGGGUAGCAAUACCUUAGUAAAGUGGCGCACGGGUGAGUAACACGUGACUAACCUACCCUAGAGUGGGGGAUAACUGAGAGAAAUCUUAGCUAAUACCGCAUAACACCUACGGGUCAAAGGAGCAAUUCGCUUCAGGAGGGGGUCGCGGCAGAUUAGAUAGUUGGCGGGGUAAUGGCCCACCAAGUCAGUGAUCUGUA
This 245-nucleotide ribosomal RNA is filed under the name uncultured bacterium. RNAcentral's name for it is "partial small subunit ribosomal RNA". It matches the Rfam family "Bacterial small subunit ribosomal RNA", at positions 26 to 285 of the family's 1533-position model. The record is from RNAcentral.